UACGUAGGGGGCAAGCGUUGUUCGGAAUUACUGGGCGUAAAGGGCUCGUAGGCGGCCAACUAAGUCGGACGUGAAAUCCCUCAGCUUAACUGGGGAACUGCGUCCGAUACUGGAUGGCUUGGAUUUGGGAGAGGGAUGCGGAAUUCCAGGUGUAGCGGUGAAAUGCGUAGAUAUCUGGAGGAACACCGGUGGCGAAGGCGGCAUCCUGGACCAAUAUUGACGCUGAGGAGCGAAAGCUAGGGGAGCAAACGGG
This 253-nucleotide ribosomal RNA is filed under the name uncultured bacterium. Its description in RNAcentral is "partial 16S ribosomal RNA". It matches the Rfam family "Bacterial small subunit ribosomal RNA", at positions 524 to 776 of the family's 1533-position model. The record is from RNAcentral.